RNAcentral lists this ribosomal RNA (440 nucleotides) under uncultured Rhizobium sp. Its description in RNAcentral is "bacterial SSU rRNA". It matches the Rfam family "Bacterial small subunit ribosomal RNA", at positions 338 to 795 of the family's 1533-position model. Lineage: Bacteria; Pseudomonadati; Pseudomonadota; Alphaproteobacteria; Hyphomicrobiales; Rhizobiaceae. The record is from RNAcentral.
CCUACGGGUGGCUGCAGUGGGGAAUAUUGGACAAUGGGCGCAAGCCUGAUCCAGCCAUGCCGCGUGAGUGAUGAAGGCCUUAGGGUUGUAAAGCUCUUUCACCGAUGAAGAUAAUGACGGUAGUCGGAGAAGAAGCCCCGGCUAACUUCGUGCCAGCAGCCGCGGUAAUACGAAGGGGGCUAGCGUUGUUCGGAAUUACUGGGCGUAAAGCGCACGUAGGCGGAUAUUUAAGUCAGGGGUGAAAUCCCGCAGCUCAACUGCGGAACUGCCUUUGAUACUGGGUAUCUUGAGUAUGGAAGAGGUAAGUGGAAUUCCGAGUGUAGAGGUGAAAUUCGUAGAUAUUCGGAGGAACACCAGUGGCGAAGGCGGCUUACUGGUCCAUUACUGACGCUGAGGUGCGAAAGCGUGGGGAGCAAACAGGAUUAGAUACCCUUGUAGUC